ACUUGAAUAGCUUAUGGUUAGAGCGCGACACUGAAGAUGUCGAUGUGGUAUAUUAAUUGCCUUUAAGUA
This 69-nucleotide transfer RNA is filed under the name Astalotermes sp. BDIT120. RNAcentral's name for it is "tRNA-Phe". It matches the Rfam family "tRNA". From Rfam's summary of the family: Transfer RNA (tRNA) molecules are approximately 80 nucleotides in length. Their secondary structure includes four short double-helical elements and three loops (D, anti-codon, and T loops). Lineage: Eukaryota; Metazoa; Arthropoda; Insecta; Blattodea; Termitidae. The record is from RNAcentral.